This 497-nucleotide ribosomal RNA is filed under the name uncultured bacterium. RNAcentral describes it as "partial 16S ribosomal RNA". It matches the Rfam family "Bacterial small subunit ribosomal RNA", at positions 28 to 507 of the family's 1533-position model. The record is from RNAcentral.
GAUGAACGCUGGCGGCGUGCCUAAUACAUGCCAGUCGAGCGAACAGACGAGGAGCUUGCUCCUCUGACGUUAGCGGCGGACGGGUGAGUAACACGUGGAUAACCUACCUAUAAGACUGGGAUAACUUCGGGAAACCGGAGCUAAUACCGGAUAAUAUAUUGAACCGCAUGGUUCAAUAGUGAAAGACGGUUUUGCUGUCACUUAUAGAUGGAUCCGCGCCGCAUUAGCUAGUUGGUAAGGUAACGGCUUACCAAGGCAACGAUGCGUAGCCGACCUGAGAGGGUGAUCGGCCACACUGGAACUGAGACACGGUCCAGACUCCUACGGGUGGCAGCAGUAGGGAAUCUUCCGCAAUGGGCGAAAGCCUGACGGAGCAACGCCGCGUGAGUGAUGAAGGUCUUCGGAUCGUAAAACUCUGUUAUUAGGGAAGAACAAAUGUGUAAGUAACUAUGCACGUCUUGACGGUACCUAAUCAGAAAGCCACGGCUAACUACGUG